GCCCCGGUAGCCCAAUCAGGCAGUCAGGCAGCGGACUUAAAAUCCGUCCAGUGUGGGUUCGACUCCCACCCGGGGUA
RNAcentral lists this transfer RNA (77 nucleotides) under Actinomadura sp. 6K520. RNAcentral describes it as "tRNA-Leu". It matches the Rfam family "tRNA". From Rfam's summary of the family: Transfer RNA (tRNA) molecules are approximately 80 nucleotides in length. Their secondary structure includes four short double-helical elements and three loops (D, anti-codon, and T loops). The record is from RNAcentral. Lineage: Bacteria; Bacillati; Actinomycetota; Actinomycetes; Streptosporangiales; Thermomonosporaceae.